CCUACGGGUGGCAGCAGUGAGGAAUAUUGGUCAAUGGACGAGAGACUGAACCAGCCAAGCCGCGUGAGGGAUGACUGCCCUGUGGGUUGCAAACUUCUUUUGUCUGGGAACAAAACGUUCCACGCGUGGGCUUUUGUGUGUACCUUAUGAAUAAGCAUCGGCUAACUCCGUGCCAGCAGCCGCGGUAAUACGGAGGAUCCGAGCGUUAUCCGGAUUUAUUGGGUUUAAAGGGUGCGGAGGCGGUUUGUUAAGUCAGGGGUGAAAGUUUGCGGCUCAACCGCAGCAUGGCAGUUGAAACUGGCAGUCUCGAGUAGGGGAGAGGUAGGCGGAAUGCGUGGUGUAGCGGUGAAAUGCAUAGAUAUCGCGAAGAACUCCGAUUGCGAAGGCAGUACGCUGGAUUGAAACUGACACUGAGGCACGAAAGUGUGGGUAUCGAACAGGAUUAGAUACCCCAGUAGUC
This 460-nucleotide ribosomal RNA is filed under the name uncultured bacterium. Its description in RNAcentral is "partial 16S ribosomal RNA". It matches the Rfam family "Bacterial small subunit ribosomal RNA", at positions 338 to 795 of the family's 1533-position model. The record is from RNAcentral.